Molecule: non-coding RNA, 573 nt
Organism: Opisthocomus hoazin
Lineage: Eukaryota; Metazoa; Chordata; Aves; Opisthocomiformes; Opisthocomidae
Source: the annotation of a RefSeq genome assembly
AUGAUACAACACUUUGUCACCGUGGCCAACAAUAACCUAGCUUUCGGCGAUGGCACGAAACUUACAGUAAUGGGGAAGAACGAUGAAAUCAUACCUCCAGCUGUCGCCAUCUUUUCCCCAUCAAAGCAAGAGAUCCAACAGAAGAGCAAGGCCACACUGGUAUGCCUGGCCUCUGGUUUCUACCCUGACCACCUGGGUCUGGUCUGGAAGGUGAAUGGUGCUAAGAGGACAGAAGGGGUGGGGACAGAUGAGUCUUCCACACAAAACGGGAGUACCUACUCAUUGACCAGCCGACUGAGGAUCUCAGCCCAGGAAUGGUUCAACCCUGUGAACCGUUUUGAGUGUGUUGCCAAUUUUUUUAAGAAUGGAACAGCAGAAUCGAUACACAAAUUAAUCUACGGUGAUGCUGGCUGUGCACUCACAGAAGAAGACUAUCAGAGAAAUGCUACAGCUGGGAAGUUUGUGCACAUCGUGCUCAUUUCCAAGAGCGUUUUGUACGGGAUGUUUGAGAAGGGGCUAAUGCUUAAGUCCAAGGAGAGAAACAGAGUUCUAGUGUGUGCACAUUUAUCCUAA